This is a non-coding RNA of Gossypium arboreum, 140 nucleotides long. Lineage: Eukaryota; Viridiplantae; Streptophyta; Magnoliopsida; Malvales; Malvaceae. The record is from Rfam.
UGUUAAAAAAUUCAUUCAUUUGUAUUAUUAAAAAUUGACACAACUGAAAGAAUAACAAGACAGACAUGUAAAGUGCCACAUGUACCUCUUGAUGUAUAGAGGCAAGUUUUUAACUAUAAAAAUGUAUGAAAAUUUUAACA